RNAcentral lists this long non-coding RNA (1065 nucleotides) under Equus caballus (horse). RNAcentral describes it as "lncRNA (ENSECAG00000046068.1)". Lineage: Eukaryota; Metazoa; Chordata; Mammalia; Perissodactyla; Equidae. The record is from RNAcentral.
CUUUCAGGCACUCAAACUUUGGUUCUGGGGCAGGCAAGAAGCCCCCAAGCAGGGGUCACGGACAAGGGGCUUCCUCCAGGUCUAAGAGCAUGAAGGAAAAAUUGACACAGACACUGCCCGUAAGGAGCUCAUGGCCUAGUAGAGGAUAGAGACCUGUCCUGCAAAGAAUGCCAGGGAGCCACAUGAAGGAAGAAGAGCUUUUCUCACCCAGAAUCGAUACUGUUGUGACUCCCAGGGAGGUGGUCCAAAGGAUUCUUUGGGUUUCAUUUUUCAGGUUUAAAUUUAGUCCAUCUAGAAUUUAUGGUGGUAUCUUGUGUGUGGUGGACAUUGGAGUUAUUUUUUUCUGAAUUGGUCUAAUAUCGUUUAUUGGAAAUUGUGCCUGGCCUGUCACCACUCUCUUCUAAUCUGCCUGAGAUCUGUUAUUUAGAACAUAUGACAGACAUACAAAAGAUGAGUUCACAAUAAGUGGACUAAAGAACACAUGGGCGUCACCAUCAUUGGAGAUUUGACACUCAGCGCUGGCACAGCGUGAGACAAACCUGUGAGAACAUCCACUCCUGACGACACCAUCUAAGCCUCGGGAGGUGCAGGGAGGUUGUGAACCUGCCCCAAAGUUCACAGAGGAUUUGAAUGUGAAUUGGGAAGGUUUAUUUCUAUAAAAAUAUUUAACAGUUAAUAAAAAUUUCAAGAAGUUAAAUAAAAUUUUGGUUAAAAAAUUUUUUUUUUUUAGAGAUUGGCACCUGAGCUAACAACUGUUGCCAAUCUUUUUUUUGUUUGUUUUUCUCCCCAAAUCCCCCCAGUACAUGGUUGUAGGUCCUUCCGGUUGUGGCAUAUGGGACGCCAUCUCAGCAUGGCCCCAUGAGCAGUGCCAUGUCCGCGCCCAGGAUCUGAACUGGCGAAACCCUGGGCCACCGAAGGAGAGCGUGUGAACUUAACCACUAGGCCACAGGGCCGGCCCCUAGUUUUAAAUAUUUUUGACUUAAAUUUUGAUAUUAGUUAAUUAGAACUUUGUGUUUUCCUUUUAAUUUUACUAAUUUUGAUUAUUUAAAAAGUAACUUUGGAAUA